GAUGAAGAACGUAGCGAAAUGCGAUAAGUAAUGUGAAUUGCAGAAUUCAGUGAAUCAUCGAAUCUUUGAACGCACAUUGCGCCCUCCGGCAUUCCGGGGGGCAUGCCUGUCCGAGCGUCACGAAAACCCCAUCACACUCGUUGUGGUCAUGGCUGCAGUGAGUCGUCUCCAGCGGAGAGGGUCACGCCGCUGAAAGGAAUGGUGCGGAUGAGUUCCGAUGGCCGAACGUAGUACUUGACAACCGUCGGCCGAUGGGACCCUCCAUCUCGCACUGACGACGUACCCCCGUCGUACCCCCGAUCAGGUGGACCUCGGAUCAGGUAGGGAUACCCGCUGAACUUAAGCAUAUCAAUAAGCGGAGGA
Molecule: unclassified non-coding RNA, 363 nt
Filed under: soil metagenome
Description: partial contains 5.8S ribosomal RNA, internal transcribed spacer 2, and large subunit ribosomal RNA
Rfam family: 5.8S ribosomal RNA (bases 1-120)
Source: RNAcentral